Molecule: ribosomal RNA, 306 nt
Filed under: Triticum aestivum (bread wheat)
Lineage: Eukaryota; Viridiplantae; Streptophyta; Magnoliopsida; Poales; Poaceae
Description: partial small subunit ribosomal RNA
Source: RNAcentral
UUCAUUCCAAAGGAAAAAAGUAUGGGACCUAUUGAUAUUUUAAAUGUUUUGAAACACUUGAAUGAUUUUCCUAAUGCAACUAUUGCAUAUAGAAUUUUAUUGACCAUCCCAGUAACCGUUGCAUCAUCGGAGAGAAGUUUUUCUAAAUUGAAGUUGUUGAAGUAAUAUUUACGUUCUACAAUGACACAGGAAAGACUUAGUGGACUGGCUUUGAUAGCAAUUGAAAACGAAGAACUAAUUGAAGAAUUUAUCUCCGAUGAUGCAACGGUUACUGGGAUGGUCAAUAAAAUUCUAUGUUCUGAAUAA